CCGAAUUUCAGUCACCACACCGUUGGCCCCUGCCACUGCCUCGCCGUCGUUGACAUCACUCACCUCCCUGGGCCGUCGCUGUCACGUUCCAGCGCCGUUGCCCAUCGAGCCCUAUUGACCUGCCCGUCUAGGCCUUGCCACAAUCUUCAUCAUGUGGGUUGUGGCCUUGCGACCGCCAAGGAUGGCGUCACCGGCCUUGGGCAACACCAGAUUUGGGGUUACCGAAGGUCGGCGACUCCGGAUAUGGGCUUUGUGAUGUCGGAAAUGGCCUCCUGAGCACAAAUCCGACUCAUCACAGUGAGUCAAAGGGAGAAAUGGUGGGGUCGGAUGGCUCA
RNAcentral lists this long non-coding RNA (335 nucleotides) under Eucalyptus grandis. RNAcentral's name for it is "long non-coding RNA (EGRA_LNC007606)". The record is from RNAcentral. Lineage: Eukaryota; Viridiplantae; Streptophyta; Magnoliopsida; Myrtales; Myrtaceae.